RNAcentral lists this ribosomal RNA (482 nucleotides) under uncultured bacterium. Its description in RNAcentral is "partial 16S ribosomal RNA". It matches the Rfam family "Bacterial small subunit ribosomal RNA", at positions 28 to 507 of the family's 1533-position model. The record is from RNAcentral.
GACGAACGCUGGCGGCGUGCCUAACACAUGCAAGUCGAACGGCACUGUUUUGAAAGCUUUCUUCGGAAUGAAUCUGAUUUCGGUUAGUGGCGGACGGGUGAGUAACGCGUGAUUAACCUGCCUUCAAGGGGGGAAUAACAUUCUGAAAAGAAUGCUAAUACUGCAUGACAUAUCGGAACCACAUGGUUUUGAUCUCAAAGAUGUUAUCGCUUGUAGAUGUACUGGCGUCCGAUUAGUUAGUUGGUGAGGUAACGGCUCACCAAGACCGCGAUCGGUAGCCGGACUGAGAGGUUGAACGGCCACAUUGGGACUGAGACACGGCCCGGACAUCUACGGGAAGCAGCAGUAGGGGAUAUUACGCAAUGGGGGCAACCCUGGCGCAGCAACGCGGCGUGAAGCAUUAAGGUUGUCGAAGAAUAACCUUCUUUUAUUAAGGACGAAAAAUGACGGUACUUAAUGAAUAAGCUCCGGCUAACUACGUG